RNAcentral lists this long non-coding RNA (1273 nucleotides) under Fragaria vesca (wild strawberry). RNAcentral's name for it is "long non-coding RNA (FVES_LNC004274)". Lineage: Eukaryota; Viridiplantae; Streptophyta; Magnoliopsida; Rosales; Rosaceae. The record is from RNAcentral.
UUGUCAAGCGAGUUGUCUUAAGAGCAAUUGCCGUAGAAUCAGACUGCCCAGUGUCCAUUACAGAUGCCCCUUGAUAGAAAGAACCAAAAGAAGCAGCGCUUCUCUUUCUAUCAUUCCUGCUUUAGACUAAGGCAUUCCAGCGUUCAUUCGCCAGGCCAAUCAAUCUUCUGAAAGAGCCCUGCCUCUGGUUUGCCCACUGCAUAUAUUCAUUGUCUUCUCUCGGCGGAAAAGGGGCUUCUAUAGAGGUCAGAGUCGCGCGUACCCAAAUCUGAAUAAGUAAAUCGGCUCACAAAUGGAGGAAUCUAAACCUUUCUCUAUUUCGAAUGUCAAACCUGAAUGCAAGCCUAAUAGGGAAAGUGCUAAGGUUAAUGCCCCAUGACGCGAGAUAAAAGGACUAAGAGCCUUUAUCCCAUGGUCAACAAUCGGCUUCACUCGCUCAAGUUUUUCUAUAAAUGGAGCGCAUCAGUUCUAUUGAGAACCAAUUCCUCGAGUAAAGGCUUCUACAGCUGGUUGACAAAGAAUCCGAAAUGCGCCACUUUUCCUGGUAGGAAACGCUAGAAUAUUGCACUGAUCGGAGAGGAAUUCUAUUUCAUUCAUUGCCCAUCAUCGAAAGUCUUUGAUUCCUGCUUUAACUAAUAGAAAGAGGGGAUGAAAAGUUUCUAUAUCCCACUCUGAAACAAGCCAAUAGGUAAGGACUAAGGGUCCGCGGGAAGGCCUUAUGAACGAAAUAAAGAAUCAGUGAAGCCGAGUGACGAAGUAGCUGCCCGUGAGUGAGAGGCGAACCGUGUAAAAGUAGGGUUCCUAAGCAAGCGAAGGUGGGGAACAGAAGGGUUGGUGCUUAUACUCCGACAGGUAUUUCCAUGGCUAGAAAGGCUUCUUCAAUCCAGCCAUAUCUUACCGACCAGGGGCUUUUGAGCGAGCAAGCCACUUCUCGGCAAGCUACCGUUCUUUCGGGUAUUUAUCCGCUUUAUUGUAAUUUGAUGGACUUCUUCACUUCUACUUCGUAGCCUCGAUCGAAAGCCAACUACAGACAAGUAACAACUUCUUGAUACCAUUCGCGCGACCUCCCAGACAGCACCCGCUUACCGGGAGAAAGACGAAAUAGGAUGGGUUUACAGCCCUAGGCAAUAGUUAAAAAAGAGCAUGUCCCAAGUGAGUUCUGAUCGAAGGUGAGCACCAAGUUCCCAUCAGGAGCAGAGGCAGUUCUUUCCAGACUUUCUUUCAAGAGUUCUAGUCGCGCCUCUCCACUCUAACAAAGUAGUCCAUCUGAAAA